Molecule: long non-coding RNA, 1005 nt
Filed under: Anas platyrhynchos platyrhynchos (common mallard)
Lineage: Eukaryota; Metazoa; Chordata; Aves; Anseriformes; Anatidae
Description: lncRNA (ENSAPLG00000028959.1)
Source: RNAcentral
UGCUGAUUAAGCUCUUACUCAUUUAUGUUAAAUGUCUAAUGAAAAGCUCUUUGAAUCUGGUUUAACCCAUAUUAAAUGCCCUAGUGGUGCCCCUGGAAUUAAAAGAGAAGAAGAAAAUUAAUCCUAUUCUUUGUUCCCUUUAUACAUUUUAAUAAAUUAUACUGCAUCUUCCUUAACGCAUUUAUGUCUCAGACAAAAUGCCAAAUGGUUUGAUCCUUUCAACAAAAAGCCAAGGAACAAAUUUGCACAUUAAAAUGUAGAGUGAUUCAACAAUUCAAGGCAUAGUGUUUUCCAGAAGGAAAUGAUGUGUUUUCUAUGUUUCUUAAUAACUCUGCACGAUGAUUUCUGCUUUGUAUUUAAGCAGGGUCUGAUGAAAGUUUGCUAAGUUUUUCUUUCUUUCUUUCUUUCUUUCUUUCUUUCUUUCUUUCUUUCUUUUUUCCACACAGCUCUUGAAUAUCCCUGUAUGUUGAAAACAACAGAAAGUAUGUUGGCUGCUUCUGCUUCAGCAGUGGAGGCCACAGCUCUACCGCAGCUGAAGCAUCUGGCCCUUCAGAGCAUACAAAUCCUGUCCUCAUGCUUUGUCUUACAGGCAAAUAAAAACAUGCUUGUUGCUUAAGUUCACCUGCAAUGAAAACAAAAUACCCAAGAGCUAUUCAAGAGGAAUAACAGACUUGAGCUCCAGCCUGCAUGACUCAUUAGUCUUUAUGGAUUCAACAUCCUAAUCUAAGCGCUGAAGGCCUGAUGGCCCACCCUGAAGGUAGAGUGCUUUCUAAAAGAGCUGAGUAUCACAGGCACAUUGUGGGCAGUGUAAUUAACCUACCCAGGUGAAACUCUCCUUGGGGAGACAUUCACUCUCUGAGUCUUCAAGACUCAAUGAAUUUGGUAGCAGCAGAAAUGGAGGAAGACAUCUUAGUCCUGUUGCUUCAUUUGAGGUUAAACAUAAUUUCCAUGCUUAAUAAGUUGUUUCAGAGGGUAUAGGUUCAACAAAUUAAGUUGAAAACACCU